AACAUCGACAUUUCGAACGCACAUUGCGGCCCUAGGACUUGUUCCUGGGCCACACCUGACUGAGGGUCGGUUGACCAAACUCAACGACCAGACUGUCCGYGGGCUUAAAAACCCCGGACGAGAUUGGAGUCUCCGCGUCUCGGCGUGGUACUCUUAAAUAAAGUGAGUGUGGGCUCGGCGUUCGCGUCGUCCCACCGAUAUCGCUGCACGGAAGGCAAUCGAGUGGGUUUUCACACGGUCUCACAACCGAGUAGGCUCGUCUCGUUCGCUUGGAUCUGAUGGCAACAUUGGUCCCGUGCGCUCGUUUUCGAUUUCGAUAAACGCGGCGCCGCGGUCUAGUUUGCUUGAGCACAGUGGUCCCCUCGGGACAAAGAUCCAGGCGGGCGGCGCGUGCACGAGUCUCGAGGCUAUUGUGAAAUACUCUUUAUUCUGUGCAGUGAGCAGCGCUUCGUCUCCCAGGGCGAUUCGCUAUCACGACCUCAGUUCAGGUGAGACU
This 496-nucleotide ribosomal RNA is filed under the name Scirtothrips dorsalis. Its description in RNAcentral is "eukaryotic LSU rRNA". Lineage: Eukaryota; Metazoa; Arthropoda; Insecta; Thysanoptera; Thripidae. The record is from RNAcentral.